This 3646-nucleotide long non-coding RNA is filed under the name Gossypium raimondii (Peruvian cotton). RNAcentral describes it as "long non-coding RNA (GRAI_LNC002569)". Lineage: Eukaryota; Viridiplantae; Streptophyta; Magnoliopsida; Malvales; Malvaceae. The record is from RNAcentral.
UAGGUAAAAUAAUUAACUCAUAUAAGAUUUGUCACAUUGUCUUGUAUUGGCUUCGUUAUCCAUCAACGUGAAGCUUUGAAGCCCUUUUCGUCUGUUGUCUUGUUUCUUCCCUGUUUCAGCUAGGCAGAUGGGAUUUAAAGAUAGAAGACAUUGCCCUUUGCUCUGCAAGUUAGCAACAGAAUACAUCAGGAAAUGCGAUGGUUGCGAAGAGGAUAUAUAUACAUAUUUCUCUAAUGAACCAGAUGUGGAUUCACUGUUUGUUAAGCUCGUGGAAGAGUUUGAGAGAUGCAUUCUUAGUUAUUUUGCAUUUCAUUGGAGUCAUGCAGAUCUUAUGAUUAGUCAGGUCAGCAUCAACAUGUAUAUACUAUGUUGGUAAUAUAUUGCUUCAAAUAUAUGAAAAAACUAUAAAAAACUAUGAUAGAUACAUGUUCAAAUCCGACACAUCCAAGUUCAAAUAACAUAUAGUAAAUGACUUGUUUUUUAUCAUAUUGUUUUAGGUAUUAAGUUCUGAUGCUGAACCCAAGAGAAAGCUCAAGCAGAUUGUCAUGGCUGCAACUAGGUUGGGCAUAUUCUAUUCUUUGAUUAUUGUUAUUGUCAGAUCAUAAUAAUAACUAAAAAAAAAUAUUGAAAUAAGGUAGAUCUGAAGAAUUGCAAAUUAAUAUAUCAACUUUAGAUUAUACCUAUUUACAGCAAGAAACUUGGAUUUUAAAACCUUAAAACUAGCGUAGCUUUAGUCUCUCACCAUUGUCGUCACUGCUGACAAGUAAUACUGAUUUCUACAAAAAGAACUUCGGUUUUGUAAUAUAGGGAACAAAGAUUUGAGAGGGUGACAAAAAGUCUGAAGGUGGCUAGGGUUUUCAAUACAUUGGUGGAAGAAAUGAAAGCAAUGGGACUCACCUCAACUGAUGAUUCUCGAUGUACAGAGGUGAUGGCUCCAGUGGCUCACAGUGAUAGAAGCCCAGUGCUGCUACUCAUGGGAGGUGGGAUGGGAGCUGGGAAGAGUACCGUCCUUAAGGACAUCCUCAAAGAGUAAGCUCGUCCUAUAUCCAACACUCAUCACCGAGUAACUCAAUGGUAACGUAGCAGACAAUUAGUCUCUUUUUGUUCCUGCAGAAGUAAAGUAACCAUUUGUAUGAAUGACUAUUUUAGUCAAGUAGACCUUCCAUAAAGUUUGCUUUUGAAAUUAGUAGUAAAUAUGAGUACUUACAAGGAACUAAUGUUGAGUGUUUUGCUUAAAAUAUGAACAGAACAUUCUGGGCAGGCGCAGCAGGAAAUGCAGUAGUGAUCGAGGCAGAUGCAUUCAAAGAAUCAGAUGUCAUAUACAGAGCCCUCAGCUCCAAAGGUCAUGCAGACAUGGUUCAUACAGCAGAACUGGUAAGAGUCACUUUCUCAGCCUCAUCAACUUUCACUGAUAGUUUCUUUAGCAAACUGAAUGAUUUCAAUUGCAUAGGCUUAAUGGCUUUAUACAGUAGCUAGCAGUAAACAAAGUUUUCUCCCAGCAUGUACAGGUUAUAAUCUAUGGAAACAAAGAGUUUCAAUGCAUUUCCCCAUCUCAUUCACUCCACUUGGAUCCUAUGAUUGGCAUCUCUAUCACCCAAGCUGGUUGCACUUUUGGCCAAAAUUUUGAGAUCAAAUAGCUCUUGGAUUAAACUUCCUUUAUUUCUAGAAAUAACACUAGGUUGCCUUUCUAAUUUAUGUGUAUAUGUUUUAGUAAUUAACUAGACUCAAAACUAAAACAUAAAAUCCAUGCAACCUGAAGGAAAAUGAUUGAGUUGCAUUAUUAACUGAAAAUGUCAAACAUCUACAUUUAGAAAAUGCAUACCAACGGCAACCAAUUCAAAUAUUUUUCCAGCCUUUCCAUAAUGCAAGAGCCUCUGUAAUCAUUUUCUGAGCUACUCUGAGGUUGGACUUUCUUCCAUCAACCUUUAAUCAAUUAACAACAUCCCAGUAAUCCAUGUCCUGUAAUAUCUUGUCACUGCCACAUGUAGCCCUAAAAAAGUUUCCUUCCCACAUGAAUAAGUGUAUCUUUACAUCAACAGUAAUAAAUAUUUCAUUUUUCUGUUCUCCACCAAGUCAACAUAGACUCAUAGUUCUCAAACAAAAAACUCAAUGUUAAAUGCACAAAUCAACAAAAAAAAUACUUCAUAGGUAAAUGAAUAACAUGGUAACCAUAUUAAUGCUUCUCAUUGGUUUUAACAAUUGUCCCAAACAGGUGCACCAAUCAUCUACGGAUGCAGCAUCAUCCCUCCUAGUGACAGCACUCAAUGAAGGGCGGGACGUGAUCAUGGAUGGAACACUCUCCUGGAUACCAUUUGUUGUGCAAACAAUAACUAUGGCCAGAUGUGUCCAUCGCCGGCGAUAUCGUAUGGGUGUUGGUUACAAGCGAAAACCUGACGGGACUGUAAUUGAGAACUACUGGGAGCAAAUUGAAGAAGAUCAAUUGCAAGGAGGGAAAAGGAGGAAGCCAUACAGAAUAGAGCUGGUUGGGGUUGUUUGUGAAGCUUAUUUAGCGGUCAUUAGAGGCAUAAGGUACUGCACCAUGGAAAACACUAGAGACAGUUGUCUUAGUUUUAGUACGAAGUCUUUUCCCCUUUAGCUGAGAUAUUGAUUUUAUCAAGAAAUUCAAUAUUUACAGGAGAGCUAUAAUGUGUAGACGCGCUGUAAGGGUGCAGUCACAAUUGAAAUCCCACAAGAGAUUUGCAAAUGCGUUUCCAACAUAUUGCCAACUGGUUGACAGUGCUAGGCUGUAUUCCACCAAUGCUUUGGAAGGUCCACCUAAGGUGAAUUAACUAUCACACAUUUUCAAUCUUAAUUUACUUAACAGGUGACAUAAAACUGAAAGGAACACCUAGUUCACCAAAGAAUUUUAACUCUGGAACCUAAGGUCAGAACAGCUGGAACAGACUGGACCAAUCUUGAAUCACUCAGAUAGCUAUAAGUUCAUGCAAGAAAUGCUAUUUGUAAAUUGUUUGACAUUUCAAUACAGGAGGCUUUGUCUCUGGUACAAAAUUAGAUGAGGAGAACUGGCUUUCUGUUAAAGCCAUGAACCCUGCUCAAUCUUUCAGGAAGAUCAUAAGCAGGCUUACCACUAGGCUAAUUUUAUUGGAAAAAAACCAUAGUAGUAUAAAAAACAGCUGACACUGUUGUAAAGUAGAAAUCUACAAAUAGAACUCCUUUCUAGGCAUGCAAACUUGCAUUUUCUUGUUCAGGACUGAACUCUUUCAAGUGUCUGGUUGUAGAAUUGGUGAGAGAGUGGUUUUGAACCCUCACAAGUCCAAGACAACUAAGUUGAGAUUAAACCAAACCUAAGCGGAGAAAAUUUCCAGCCGCCUAGUUUACUCCAUUAUAAUCCUAAAACUGAAAUCUAGGAGGAAGAGAAAAUAGCCUAUAACUACAGGCUGCAGCAUGCAGGGAUAAACAAAUAAAUUGUGAAGGAACUUCAUUGCUAGCAAAAUUACUCCAUGCAACCAAUUAUGUAAUAUUAACAUGAAAAUUUUUGUAAAGUUGAUAGGAUGGAAAGAAAGAGAGAGAACCUUGCUAGUUGAUCCAGAUGAAAUUGACUGUUUAAAGAAAGUGGGCAGGCUGAAUGAAGAAGCUGAGUCCAUAUAUGAACUUUACAAGCACCCCAACCCGGCAUGUGAAGCUG